AAGUCGUAACAAGGUUUCCGUAGGUGAACCUGCGGAAGGAUCAUUGCGAACUGAGAUUGGGAUAUUAUCCCAACAUAUGGUCUCGGACCGAGUAUUAUUUAUUCGGCCCGCUUGACAUUUACGCUUGUCUUGUUUGUCAGAGUCAAAAUGCGAUGUUUAUACAACUUUUAACAAUGGAUCUCUUGGCUCUU
This 191-nucleotide unclassified non-coding RNA is filed under the name fungal sp. RNAcentral's name for it is "partial internal transcribed spacer region". The stretch from base 1 to 46 matches the Rfam family "Eukaryotic small subunit ribosomal RNA", at positions 1786 to 1831 of the family's 1831-position model. The record is from RNAcentral. Lineage: Eukaryota; Fungi.